UGUCUUCAGGGCGGGGCGCAAUUCCCCACUGGCGGUAAAGUCCGCGAACGGUUGCCGAAAGGCAUCCGCCGACCCGGUGAAACUCCGAGACCAACAGUAACAGUCUGGAUGGGAGAAGAU
RNAcentral lists this non-coding RNA (120 nucleotides) under uncultured Dysosmobacter sp. RNAcentral describes it as "FMN riboswitch (RFN element)". It matches the Rfam family "FMN riboswitch aptamer (RFN element)". Rfam says of the family: The RFN element is a highly conserved domain that is found frequently in the 5'-untranslated regions of prokaryotic mRNAs that encode for flavin mononucleotide (FMN) biosynthesis and transport proteins. This element is a metabolite-dependent riboswitch that directly binds FMN in the absence of proteins. The record is from RNAcentral. Lineage: Bacteria; Bacillati; Bacillota; Clostridia; Eubacteriales; Oscillospiraceae.